This 253-nucleotide ribosomal RNA is filed under the name uncultured bacterium. RNAcentral describes it as "partial 16S ribosomal RNA". It matches the Rfam family "Bacterial small subunit ribosomal RNA", at positions 524 to 776 of the family's 1533-position model. The record is from RNAcentral.
UACAGAGGGUGCGAGCGUUAAUCGGAAUUACUGGGCGUAAAGCGCGCGUAGGCGGUUAUCUAAGUCGGAUGUGAAAGCCCUCGGCUUAACUGAGGAAGUGCACCCGAAACUGGGUAGCUAGAGUACUAAAGAGGGUCGCGGAAUUCCCGGUGUAGAGGUGAAAUUCGUAGAUAUCAGGAGGAACACCGGUGGCGAAGGCGGGUCUCUGGGCCGUAACUGACGCUGAGGAGCGAAAGCGUGGGGAGCGAACAGG